RNAcentral lists this ribosomal RNA (432 nucleotides) under uncultured Pelagibacteraceae bacterium. RNAcentral describes it as "bacterial SSU rRNA". It matches the Rfam family "Bacterial small subunit ribosomal RNA", at positions 29 to 505 of the family's 1533-position model. The record is from RNAcentral. Lineage: Bacteria; Pseudomonadati; Pseudomonadota; Alphaproteobacteria; Candidatus Pelagibacterales; Candidatus Pelagibacteraceae.
AACGUACGCUGGCGGCACGCCUUAUACAUGCAAGUCGAACGAAGUAGCAAUACUUAGUGGCAGACGGGUGAGUAACAUGUAGGUAUCUACCCUUUGGUGAGGAAUAACACGAGGAAACUUGUGCUAAUACCUCAUAAGUCUUUACGGAGAAAGCUUUAUGCGCCGAAGGAUGAGCCUGCACUUGAUUAGUUUGUUGGUGGGGUAAUGGCCUACCAAGACUUUGAUCUAUAGCUGAUCUGAGAGGAUGAUCAGCCACAUUGGGACUGAAACACGGCCCAAACUCCUACGGGAGGCAGCAGUAGGGAAUAUUGCACAAUGGAGGAAACUCUGAUGCAGCGAUGCCGCGUGAGUGAAGAAGGCCUUUGGGUUGUAAAGCUCUUUCGUCGGGGAAGAAAAUGACUGUACCCGAAUAAGAAGGUCCGGCUAACUUCG